Molecule: ribosomal RNA, 374 nt
Filed under: uncultured bacterium
Lineage: Bacteria
Description: bacterial SSU rRNA
Rfam family: Bacterial small subunit ribosomal RNA
Source: RNAcentral
UAAUACGUAGGCAGCAAGCGUUGUUCGGAAUUACUGGGCGUAAAGAGUGUGUAGGCGGUGCUCUAAGUUCGGUGUGAAAUCUCCCGGCUCAACUGGGAGGGUGCGCCGAAAACUGGGGUGCUGGAGCGCGGGAGAGGAAAGCGGAAUUCCUGGUGUAGCGGUGAAAUGCGUAGAUAUCAGGAGGAACACCGGCGGUGUAGACGGCUUUCUGGACCGUAGCUGACGCUGAGACACGAAAGCGUGGGUAGCAAACAGGAUUAGAUACCCUGGUAGUCCACGCCCUAAACGAUGCAUACUUGGUGUCGGCCAUUCAGUUGGUCGGUGCCGGAGCUAACGCGUUAAGUAUGCCGCCUGGGGAGUACGGUCGCAAGGCU